UCCUCCGUAGUAUAGUGGUCAGUAUCCCCGCCUGUCACGCGGGAGACCGGGUUCGAUUCAGGCAGGAA
Trichonephila inaurata madagascariensis is the source of this 68-nucleotide non-coding RNA. Lineage: Eukaryota; Metazoa; Arthropoda; Arachnida; Araneae; Nephilidae. The record is from the annotation of a GenBank genome assembly.